Molecule: RNA transcript, 1543 nt
Organism: Passer domesticus (house sparrow)
Lineage: Eukaryota; Metazoa; Chordata; Aves; Passeriformes; Passeridae
Gene: TPK1
Gene name: thiamin pyrophosphokinase 1
Exons: 11
Source: RefSeq, a predicted model, not a curated record
UCGAUUCCCUCGGCUUGCCCUGCCGCCCCGCUGCCAAGCACAUCCCGGUCCCGGUGCCGGUCCCUGGUCCCGGUCCCGGUCCCGGUGCCGGUCCCUGGUCCCGGCCGGGGGAUGUAGGAGGACGCGCGGCCCAAGGUACCCGGGCAGCGCCGCCGCCUGUCGCCUGCAAGGGCCGGCGCAGCGGCCGCCGCGGCCGUGUGGCUGUAGGCGUUCCUCGGGGAGACCGGGAAGGGGCACGGCUGCUGUCCGCCUGCCCCCCCGCCGCGGUCCCGCCCGUGCCUGUGCCGUGUGCCUGACCGUCCCGCGGGCCAUGGAGCGGGCGUUCACGCCGCUGGAAUGCCUCCUGCCCGCCGGAAAUCUGAAGUUUUGCCUUCUGAUUCUGAACCAGCCUUUCAACAAAGGUCAUUUCCAUUGUCUGUGGAGCAGAGCUGCCCUGAGAGCUUGUGCUGAUGGAGGUGCCAAUUGUCUCUACCACAUCACAGAAGGGAGCCAGGAAAGCUUCUUGCCUGAUUACAUCAGUGGUGAUUUUGAUUCCAUUCAGCCUGAAGUCAAGGAGUACUACAAGGUCAAGGGAUGUGAGUUAAUUGAGACCAUGGAUCAGGACCUCACAGAUUUCACCAAGUGCCUUCAAAUACUCCAGAAAAAGAUAGAGAAGAAGGGCCUCCAGGUUGAUGUGAUUGUGGCUCUGGGUGGACUUGGAGGACGCUUUGACCAAACAAUGGCAUCGGUGGAAACGCUUUUUCAUGCAACAAAUAUCACUCCUUCUCCAGUGAUAGUUAUCCAGGAGUGCUCGCUGAUUUACCUGCUUCAACCUGGCAAGCACAAGCUGCAUGUGGACACAGGACUGGAGGGCUCCUGGUGUGGCCUCAUCCCCAUUGGGAACCCCUGCGAGAGUGUGACCACGACAGGCCUUAAGUGGAACCUCAAAAGUUUAUUUGCCAAAGCUGAGCCCCCGAGGGUGAAUGCCUCAUCACAGAAUCAUAGACUCCUUCAGGCAGGAAAAGAGGCCCAAGAUCAUCAAAUCCAGCCUUUGACUGAAUACCACUGUGUCAACUGAACUGUAUCAGAAAGGGCCGCAAACCUGCUAAUUUUUUAAAUACUUCCAGAGAUGGUGAUUCUACCACAAGUCCCAGUUCUCCCCAAGAUGUAGCUCAGUUCUGCCUGGCAAGUGAGAAGAUGGCUGAAAAUGGAGUCCAUUAACCCAAGCAGAGCCAAACCUCCAUGAGCUAUAGAUUGAGGGUAGGAGAGAAAAGAAGAUGGGAAGCAUAAGACCAACUCAGGUUUUGAUCAACACAAAAUGUUCACAUACCAGGUUGAGUUAGCUUAAGUCAUUCUCUCUAAAAUCACAUCAUUUAUACCGGACUGCUUUGAUUGAGCUCCUGCCUACACAUAGGAGACAUGCCCCAGCUAACCAGGUGCUAAAGUUUGGAACACUCGUCAGUACUUCCAACACCUAUGACAACUCUGGGAUUGUGACUAUCGAGACAGACAAACCUUUGCUGUGGACAAUGGCUAUCAAGACAUAAGAUCAGCGACAGCUGCC